Molecule: ribosomal RNA, 804 nt
Filed under: uncultured bacterium
Lineage: Bacteria
Description: bacterial SSU rRNA
Rfam family: Bacterial small subunit ribosomal RNA
Source: RNAcentral
AGAGUUUGAUCCUGGCUCAGGAUGAACGCUGGCGGCGUGCUUAACACAUGCAAGUCGAACGAAGCACUUUAUUUGAUUUCCUUCGGGACUGAUUAUUUUGUGACUGAGUGGCGGACGGGUGAGUAACGCGUGGGUAACCUGCCUUGUACAGGGGGAUAACAGUUGGAAACGGCUGCUAGUACCGCAUAAGCGCACAGCAUCGCAUGAUGCAGUGUGAAAAAACUCCGGUGGUAUAAGAUGGACCCGCGUUGGAUUAGCUAGUUGGUGAGGUAACGGCCCACCAAGGCGACGAUCCAUAGCCGACCUGAGAGGGUGACCGGCCACAUUGGGACUGAGACACGGCCCAAACUCCUACGGGAGGCAGCAGUGGGGAAUAUUGCACAAUGGGCGAAAGCCUGAUGCAGCGACGCCGCGUGAGCGAAGAAGUAUUUCGGUAUGUAAAGCUCUAUCAGCAGGGAAGAUAAUGACGGUACCUGACUAAGAAGCACCGGCUAAAUACGUGCCAGCAGCCGCGGUAAUACGUAUGGUGCAAGCGUUAUCCGGAUUUACUGGGUGUAAAGGGAGCGCAGGCGGUGCGGCAAGUCUGAUGUGAAAGCCCGGGGCUCAACCCCGGUACUGCAUUGGAAACUGUCGUACUAGAGUGCAGGAGAGGUAAGCGGAAUUCCUAGUGUAGCGGUGAAAUGCGUAGAUAUUAGGAGGAACAUCAGUGGCGAAGGCGGCUUACUGGACUGAAACUGACACUGAGGCACGAAAGCGUGGGGAGCAAACAGGAUUAGAUACCCUGGUAGUCCACGCCGUAAACGA